GACGAACGCUGGCGGCGUGCUUAACACAUGCAAGUCGAACGGAAAGGCCCUGCUUUUGUGGGGUGCUCGAGUGGCGAACGGGUGAGUAACACGUGAGUAACCUGCCCUUUACUUUGGGAUAACUUCAGGAAACUGGGGCUAAUACCGGAUAGGAGCUCCUGCUGCAUGGUGGUGGUUGGAAAGUUUCGGCGGUUGGGGAUGGACUCGCGGCUUAUCAGCUUGUUGGUGGGGUAGUGGCUUACCAAGGCUUUGACGGGUAGCCGGCCUGAGAGGGUGACCGGCCACAUUGGGACUGAGAUACGGCCCAGACUCCAACGGGAGGCAGCAGUGGGGAAUAUUGCACAAUGGGCGGAAGCAUGAUGCAGAAACGCCGCGUGCGGGAUGACGGCAUUCGGGUUGUAAACCGAUUUAGCCUGAGACGAAGAGUGAGUGACGGUAAUGGGUAAAGAAGCACCGGCUAACUACGUG
This 468-nucleotide ribosomal RNA is filed under the name uncultured bacterium. RNAcentral describes it as "partial 16S ribosomal RNA". It matches the Rfam family "Bacterial small subunit ribosomal RNA", at positions 28 to 507 of the family's 1533-position model. The record is from RNAcentral.